AGGUUUUGAUGGCAGUUUGAGAGCUGACUGCAGGGCAUCUGGACUCUUAUGAGCUGUUGAUCCACGUUUGAGGAAUCAGACUCUCUCUCUCUGUGUUUCUCCAUAUGGUUUCUGCAGGAUCCAUUAUGGAGCAUCGUGCAGUAUUUCUUUAUUCAUGAUCCACGGAAGAAGAAAAUCCUAUGGGUUUGGAACGACAUGAGUUUGGGCUUCAUACACAAAUCUCAAUGGGAGUGGUCAUCAUCACUUUGCUCUUGUCUUGACGGUUGGGAGACGGGCUUUUGGAGGACUCCUCCCUAGAAGAAUGUGGUUCGGACAGGAUGCUACGUUUGAGGGGGG
Molecule: long non-coding RNA, 336 nt
Organism: Carassius gibelio (silver crucian carp)
Lineage: Eukaryota; Metazoa; Chordata; Actinopteri; Cypriniformes; Cyprinidae
Exons: 3
Source: RefSeq, a predicted model, not a curated record